This 407-nucleotide ribosomal RNA is filed under the name uncultured bacterium. RNAcentral describes it as "bacterial SSU rRNA". It matches the Rfam family "Bacterial small subunit ribosomal RNA", at positions 509 to 916 of the family's 1533-position model. The record is from RNAcentral.
CAGCAGCCGCGGUAAUACGUAGGUGACAAGCGUUGUCCGGAUUUACUGGGCGUAAAGAGCGCGCAGGCGGUCGUUCAAGUCGAGUGUGAAAGCCCCCGGCUCAACUGGGGAGGGUCAUUCGAUACUGAUCGACUCGAAGGCAGGAGAGGGAAGCGGAAUUCCCGGUGUAGUGGUGAAAUGCGUAGAUAUCGGGAGGAACACCAGUGGCGAAGGCGGCUUCCUGGCCUGUUCUUGACGCUGAGGCGCGAAAGCUAGGGGAGCAAACGGGAUUAGAUACCCCGGUAGUCCUAGCCGUAAACGCUGAGUACUGGACCGGAGCUCUGCACAGGGUUUCGGUCGUAGCGAAAGUGUUAAGUACUCCGCCUGGGGAGUAUGGUCGCAAGGCUGAAACUUAAAGGAAUUGACGG